CGUGAAGAUAGGAUUCAAUUUGGUGGAGACCAAAGCAGAAAAUUAUCAUCAUUCAGUUUGACAGUGACAAAAUGAUAGAUAGGUGUAGUGGGAACUGAUGGCAUGGAUACAGAUGAAGGUGCAGCGGAGGAUGUCAUGGCGGCUGUUUCAAGAAAUUUGGAAAUUGGGAAGAGAACACAGUGGGCUAAGGCUAAGAAUUUGGGGAUUGAGUGUUUUGAGUUUCUGUGUUUGUUAAUUGAUAGGAAGGGGAAGGGGAAGGGGAAGAGGAAGAGGCCAAGCAAUUGGCCCAGAGCCUGGGUUUGAUUAGCAGCAAUUUGAAGAUGGCAAGAAAAAGAAGAAGAGCUAGAGCCAGAGAAGAAUCUCUGCUCUGAUACCAUAGAAGGUUAUAGAAUUUGCUGUGUAUUCUUCUCAUUGAGAGUAUAAGGUUCCUAGCUGACAAUGAUAAAACAAGCACAGAAACUUGUAAAGAGAUAAUGAACACUAUUUGUAUUGUAAAGUACAAGAUUUUAUAUGCAAUACUAUGGCUAUGCGAAAGUUGUGCAAGGCCAAAACGCUGACUAACCUUGGCAUUCUUGGGAGCAGCAACUUCUU
This is a long non-coding RNA of Rosa rugosa (rugosa rose), 591 nucleotides long. RefSeq lists it as uncharacterized. The record is from RefSeq and is a predicted model, not a curated record. Lineage: Eukaryota; Viridiplantae; Streptophyta; Magnoliopsida; Rosales; Rosaceae. The transcript has 3 exons.